UUGAACGCUGGCGGCAUGCUUUACACAUGCAAGUCGAACGGCAGCGGGGGCUUCGGCCUGCCGGCGAGUGGCGAACGGGUGAGUAAUACAUCGGAACGUGCCCGAUCGUGGGGGAUAACGGAGCGAAAGCUUUGCUAAUACCGCAUACGAUCUACGGAUGAAAGCAGGGGACCCUCGGGCCUUGCGCGAACGGAGCGGCCGAUGGCAGAUUAGGUAGUUGGUGGGAUAAAAGCUUACCAAGCCGACGAUCUGUAGCUGGUCUGAGAGGACGACCAGCCACACUGGGACUGAGACACGGCCCAGACUCCUACGGGAGGCAGCAGUGGGGAAUUUUGGACAAUGGGCGAAAGCCUGAUCCAGCAAUGCCGCGUGCAGGAUGAAGGCCUUCGGGUUGUAAACUGCUUUUGUACGGAACGAAAAGUCUCGGGAUAAUACCCUGGGACCAUGACGGUACCGUAAGAAUAAGCACCGGCUAACUACGU
RNAcentral lists this ribosomal RNA (482 nucleotides) under uncultured bacterium. RNAcentral's name for it is "bacterial SSU rRNA". It matches the Rfam family "Bacterial small subunit ribosomal RNA", at positions 30 to 506 of the family's 1533-position model. The record is from RNAcentral.